GAUGAACGCUAGCGACAGGCUUAACACAUGCAAGUCGAGGGGCAUCACGAUUUUAGCUUGCUAAGAUUGGUGGCGACCGGCGCACGGGUGAGGAACGCGUAUGCAACUUACCUAUCAGUGUGGAAUAACCCGGCGAAAGUCGGACUAAUACCGCAUACUAUAUACGGACUGCAUGGUCUCUGUAUAUAAAAGAUUUAUCGCUGAUAGAUAGGCAUGCGUUCCAUUAGGCAGUUGGUGAGGUAACGGCUCACCAAACCUACGAUGGAUCGGGGAACUGAGAGGUUGAUCCCCCACACUGGUACUGAGACACGGACCAGACUCCUAUGGGAGGCAGCAGUGAGGAAUAUUGGUCAAUGGACGAGAGUCUGAACCAGCCAAGUCGCGUGAAGGAUGAAGGAUCUAUGGUUCGUAAACUUCUUUUAUCUGGGAAUAAGUGCAGGACGUGUCCUGUUUUGUAUGUACCAUUUGAAUAAGGAUCGGCUAACUCCGUGCCAGCCGCCGCCGUAA
This 507-nucleotide ribosomal RNA is filed under the name uncultured bacterium. RNAcentral describes it as "partial 16S ribosomal RNA". It matches the Rfam family "Bacterial small subunit ribosomal RNA", at positions 28 to 523 of the family's 1533-position model. The record is from RNAcentral.